This 245-nucleotide ribosomal RNA is filed under the name uncultured bacterium. RNAcentral describes it as "partial 16S ribosomal RNA". It matches the Rfam family "Bacterial small subunit ribosomal RNA", at positions 524 to 768 of the family's 1533-position model. The record is from RNAcentral.
UACGAGGGGGGCAAGCGUUGUUCGGAUUUAUUGGGCGUAAAGGGUGCGUAGGCGGUUUGGCAAGUCUUGUGUGAAAUCUUCGGGCUCAACCCGAAGCCUGCACAAGAAACUGCCGGGCUUGAGUAUGGGAGAGGUGAGUGGAAUUUCCGGUGUAGCGGUGAAAUGCGUAGAUAUCGGAAGGAACACCUGUGGCGAAAGCGGCUCACUGGACCAUAACUGACGCUGAUGCACGAAAGCUAGGGGAG